AGGAAACGGAUCAUUACGUCAUGGACAACAAAAUUAGGAUUGGGAAACAUCCUUCUGAAACACUAGGACGAAGAAAGGAAAAUACUCCAUCUACAGGGAUGGAAGACCAGCACGCUGCAGAACAACACAAUUCCCAUGGUGCAGACUGUCCUUCAAAGAAACUCUGAAAAAAGAAAGAACGAAAGAAAGAAAGAAAAGAGAAUGACAGUGAAAGCUGUGUCAUGUGGCAAUGCUCGAAUAAUGUCAGAGUUAAAUGAUUAAAUGAAACAUGGAUAUCAGUGUAAUCUUCAUAGGUUCCAACAUCAGACAGCCCUCUUGACAAUUAGUGUUUUUUAAACAGCAGCUUCAAAUGCAAAAUACUCUUUUAACAACGAGAUCAACCUCUACCUUGCAGUCAUAGCUGCAGAAUUUUCACAAACUUGUGGAUCCCUCAGGAUAAGCUAAAGAUAUCUGUUUUAGAAAAUAAUAUCCCUGUUUUAUUAUUAAACAGGAUACAAAAACC
Molecule: long non-coding RNA, 502 nt
Organism: Acipenser ruthenus (sterlet)
Lineage: Eukaryota; Metazoa; Chordata; Actinopteri; Acipenseriformes; Acipenseridae
Exons: 2
Source: RefSeq, a predicted model, not a curated record